CUAAUUUGUUCAAUUCCAACGUUAAUUUCCUGUUAGAGAGAGGUAGAAGCAGCAUUUUCCCUUAAGGGAGAGGUGUUGCUCCUUCUUUCCUAGCUAGGCCUGUGAUGAUCUAAAAGUCUGAGACCAGUGACCAUCAAUCAAAGACCGUCAGUCCUUACGGGUGGUCUUUGCCUGCUGAGCUUUGCCAUUGUGGUAUGAUUUGGUUCUUCAACAGAAAUAAUAAAUUGUUCUCUUUAUGAGUUAGG
RNAcentral lists this long non-coding RNA (245 nucleotides) under Ricinus communis (castor bean). RNAcentral's name for it is "long non-coding RNA (RCOM_LNC002526)". Lineage: Eukaryota; Viridiplantae; Streptophyta; Magnoliopsida; Malpighiales; Euphorbiaceae. The record is from RNAcentral.